Molecule: ribosomal RNA, 273 nt
Filed under: uncultured bacterium
Lineage: Bacteria
Description: partial 16S ribosomal RNA
Rfam family: Bacterial small subunit ribosomal RNA
Source: RNAcentral
UACAGAGGUGGCAAGCGUUGCUCGGAAUUACUGGGCGUAAAGCGCGCGUAGGCGGUUUAGUCAGUCAGAUGUGAAAGCCCCGGGCUCAACCUGGGAACUGCAUUUGAUACUGCUGAACUAGAGUAUGGUAGAGGGAAGUGGAAUUCCGGGUGUAGCGGUGAAAUGCGUAGAUAUCCGGAGGAACACCAGUGGCGAAGGCGACUUCCUGGACCAAUACUGACGCUGAGGUGCGAAAGCGUGGGUAGCAAACAGGAUUAGAUACCCGAGUAGUCC